UCGUCCCUACCCUUCAUUUUUCUCUAAGCCACUGAGCUCAGUCUUCAUCCUCCUCACUCCACUCCAGCACAAGCAAACACAGUGAACACCUCCAUUUUCACCCCCAAUCUCCAUCUUCUCCUCUGUUGGGCGAGAGAAGUUCAUUGUCGCUGCCCAGUCGCCGAUCAUCGCGCCGCUGCUCCGGUCGACUCUGGCCAUCUUCCGCCGAGCCGUCGCACCACCAGCUCAGCCUCGACCCCACGCAUGCGCAGCCACCGACGCCGUCUCCAACCGUGCACCGGUGAAGUAGAUCGACGUCACCACCCCCUUUCCACCAUCCGCCACCGUCGUCGGUCAAAUCCAGCCACUCCGGUGAGCCCCGCUUCAAUCCAUUGCGUAUACACCACCCUGGGGACCUCCGCUCGUUAUUUCACCACUUGGUUCUUGCAUGCAUGCCGUGAAUCGCCCCGAUGCCGUGCGGCCGCGGCCCCGCCGAAGCCAUUCGUCGUCACCGGACUUCUUCGCCGCCUCCCCGCCUUGUAUAACCCCUUGGUGAGCUCCACACCUCCCUAUGGCCUUCCCGUGCCUCGUCCAGUCCAGAUCGAGCUCGAAAUGUGACAUGCAUCGCCGGCCAAAAUCUCGCCGCCGCUCGUCACCGGCGCUAGCGCUACACAGGUCGUCGUCGUCAUCAUCAUGACCACCAUCGAGACUGCAUCGUCGCCCUCUUCAUUUAUCCUUUUGGGCCCGACUCCAUCCGAGCUUCGGUUCGCCACUGGCGAGAUCUCGAGCCGGCCAUGGCUGCCUCUGCGUGAGCUCCAGCCAGGAACCUCGUCCGUCAAUUAGAUAAAAGCAAGGGUUCUUUCUGAAAAGAGCCCAUGACACUUAUCACCGUAGCGAGGACCUUCUUAUAAAUUUUAGAAUAGCCGAGGACUCUUAAUAAAGUGCACUUUCAGUGCCUGCUGAAUUGCCUGAAAAAUAUGUAACCUUUGAAAAUUCAUAACAUUUUCAUUUGAGCUCCAAAAACAGUGAACCAAAUUUCUGUAGAUUCAUAAAAAUAUGAUCUACAAAUUUGUAAAAUAAAAAG
RNAcentral lists this long non-coding RNA (1063 nucleotides) under Oryza brachyantha (malo sina). RNAcentral's name for it is "long non-coding RNA (OBRA_LNC002854)". Lineage: Eukaryota; Viridiplantae; Streptophyta; Magnoliopsida; Poales; Poaceae. The record is from RNAcentral.